GGAAAAAAAGAAGAAAUUCCAAUUGUAUCAUCGAGUCGAAAUGUUGCUCGAUCGACGCGAUGCGAUAAUGCACAAAGUUCCAUCGAUUGUGUUGUAGAUCACGAUUCGAAUGAAUUCGUCGACGCGUUACCCCGUCGGCGGAGAGAUGCAAGUAUGUUUCGUGUGGAAGAAGUUCUUCGAAGAAGUGGCCCCGCAAUAACGAGAGGUGUAUCAUACGCGAAACAACGUCCAGCGAGUGUAGCCAAAAAACAAGAGGGCGCGUCUGUGCAAGGAAAGAAAAGCGAUAAACACGUGUGCGAAAGAAUACGCGGUCCAUACCUGGCCCGCCAUUUGGGCGGCAUGGUCCUUUGGGCCACUAUACUAUUCCUACAAGGAGCUGGUUUCGUAGGCUCGGUAACAGGUAUUCCUGGUGUUCCGGAAAAUAUAACGGUGAUGUUCCUGAAUCCAACCUCUGUGCGCGUAUCUUGGAGCACCAGUCAGGUCGAACAAGUUGAAAAAUACGACGUCACGUACAAGCCAACGGAUGCCAGGAAAUACAAUGACAGUUACAGGGUGGUGGCGGUGGUCGCGGGAAAUAGCGAGGCGGUCACGUUGAGCGGUCUGAGGGCCGACACGCAAUACCAGCUGGUCGUCACCGCCGUCAGAGGUGGGAAAAAAUUUCGAAGCCGGCCGAUCGUCUUCCGUACGCUUGAACCGCCGCGAACAUCCCCGCAACAGGACGCAGCGGUAACCGGUGGCCCUCUUCCGCCCCCUCCACCCUCUUCUCAGCAACCCCAAGCUUACAUACAGGUCCGUGGCGUGGAAGUGGGGAUAGUCGUGUUGGUGUUGAUCUUUUGGGCGGGCGCGAUAGCGUUGUUCUUCAAUCGUUGGGGCAAGAUUCGUAUGUUGUUGCCGUAUCAACCCGAUUACAAGGAACAAUUGAAAGUUCCUGGGACUGGGGUGUGCGCAGCGGCGAACGCCGCGUACACGCAACAUCCCACUCAGCACACCUGUUCUCAGCAUCUGCACUGGUCGAGCCAUCACGUGGACUCGUUGGACAGCGGAGGCGGUUUCGGAUGGGCGAGAACAUCGAGGCCGCGGGUGAACAGCGCCAUCGACGUAGCCGGCUUCCUAUCCCAGGAAUUUUUAAGACGACACGGUUCCACGUCGAAAUUGUGCCGGAAGGUUCGCAGUGCGGAUAAUUUACCCCUGGCGUCCUCGAAUCGACAAGAUCAACGGAAUUCGAAGGAGGAGGGGAUGGACGGAGACAAAGAGUCUUUCCUGAGAUCGACCCAAGAGGAGAAAUCCGAGGAUUUGGAAUCGAAGAGGCACAGCAGUUUGGAGAGUUGUCCGAAGGACAAUCCGGACAUCUCGUUGCUCGAUCCCAAUCAUCAACAACAAUCUUCCAGGGAUUCCCCGAUCACGUGUUCGUCGUCGUUGGUCGGCCGACGUUUCGGUGGAUGGCGAGCAGGCGGGAGUCACGAAUACGUUCGAUGUCCCGUGCGACAACCGGCUUCCAUGGACGAGAGGUAUUGUCGGCGUUCCGGGGAAACGGAGGGUCGGCCGACGAUCGGCCGCUAUCAUCAUUAUCAUCGGAGGGGAGGGAUCGAGCGACACUCGAAGAGCUGCGACUACGCGACGAAACGAACGACGGCCGAAUCGAGCAUCGAGGUUCAGCACUUCGGCCUUCCUAUACUGAGCGUGAGCGAGCCCAGCCCGCCGGACGAGAACGACCGCGUCGACGAUUAUUUGUAGGACUUGCUUGCCGAGGACUUCCUCAAGGAGCUCCUCGUAUGACCGUCCCCUAAUCUCCCCGAGUCCCCCACCACUCCUUCCUCGCGAAAAUUCCAACCGUGAAAAAUAAAGAGAGGAAGAAGUUGGAUAUUUCCAAUUCGAAUUCGCGCCCGACACAAUCGAGAGUGUUAUUCCGAUUCCAGAUGAUCGUACAAUGUCAAUUUCGAUGAUAUACAUAUAUAUAUAUUUUUUUUUCCUCGAUUCGCCGUGUGAUAGAUCGAUAUUCGUUUCCAAGAUAUCGCGUAAUAGAUGUUUCGUGUGACUCUACUACCUUCGUUUCGACCGCCCCUCGUGUCUUCACGCUCGUGUCAAUAGCGUGUCCUCUGGUUUCGAAAGAAAGAAAGGAAAAUUUGAAUUCGAUUAAUUUUUUUGAAUAUUCGAUCGAGUAUCAAGAUGCGAUGUAUCAAGCGUUGACGAAUGUCCACAUAUCCGAUAAUAUAUAACACGGCACGAUCAUCGUGAUAAAAAAGCUCGAAAUUCCGAUAGAUAUUUAAAUAACGAAGCGAGAAUCGUAUUAAUCGUGUCCAACUCGGUGAUAUAUAUAUAUAUAUUUCGAUUUCUCUCCUUUGCUUUUCUCUCCUUUCAUCGAUACGAUAAUCGAGCAAUAGUAUCGAUCGUUGUCGCGAGCUAUCCUAUUAUGGAGGGUAUAGCGCUAUUUUAAACAUGGGUGUAUAAACGAGUAAAUAAAAUUUUAAAUAAUUUUUAUGAACGAUCAAUGAUAAUUGUUCUACAAGAGCUUCGAGAAUUUUACGUCCAACUUACGAUCUUAUAUAUACAUAUUAUAUAUAUAUAUAUAUAUAGGCGAGAACGAACGAUAUUAUACCCUGCGUUUCUUCUUUUCUUCUCAAAUUUUCCUUUUAUCGUCGAAAGUUUGAAAUUUAUCCGUCACUUGCGAUUAGAUUAAAAAUAUGUGCGACAGAGUUCAAUUACGCUUACUUUUAUUCGUAUAUCGCGCGCAUCUUGAACAUCGAAUCAUCGAUGAGAGCUUAUCGAUUAGAUCGAAAUUUUAAUUCGAGUAUUUUUAUCGCCUGUUUAAACUCGGACCAAUCGGUGCGAUACAAAGGGGGCCAUAAUUUCCUGUUUCCGUGUUACGUUUUGCGAUCGCACACUUGGGAAAAGGGAAAAUUUUCGUUUGAAAAGAGAUCGUAAUCGCUUUGCUUUGUUUGAAUCAUACCGGUAGGAGACGACCGAGGUAGAAUAUCGUCAAAUUCGGGGACCAAAUAAAUAGUUGUAAACGUAAUACCGACGAAUCAAUUAAUUUUUCUUUUAUUUUUAUAUUCUCCCUUUCUUUCCACGUCGCUAUUUACGUUUCUAUUUUGCAUUUCUAAUUUAAUUCUCAUCGUUCGAAAUACGCAUCGAAUCGGACGAGGACGAAAGGAGAAUAUUGAAUCAAGGUUGAUGGGAAAAAACGACGAAUCGCGGCUUAGUUCAAUUUCCAACAUCUUCUUUUCUUUUCUUUUUUUUUUUUUUUUUUUUUUUUUCUUUUUCAUUUCUCACGCGAGCGUGUAAUAUUCUUUGAAUCGAAAAAUAAAUAAAGCAGUUUUGCCGAGCGCGAAUGAUGAGAUAAAAUAUCAUCUCAAAAAUCUCGGAAUUUUUUUCCAACCAACCUAACAACGUCUCUUUCAUAAAUUGCAUAUCAUGUAUUGUCUGUCGUGCGAGGUUAAGUAUCCUCCAACGAUGAAGAUAAAAACCGACCAAUCGAAUUGCGAAUCAAUUUUAAACGGACAAUUACCUACUGUAUAAAGUUGAACACGUGUGUAUAUAUUUAUACAUACAAAUGUAGAAAGAUGAAAAAAAAAAAAUAUGUGAUAUAUCGUAGAGAAAUGUUUUAUUUCUUUUUUUUUUUUUUUUUUUUGAAAAAAAAAAUCCGCAAUUCGUGAAAAUUGAAAUUGAAUAUAUUACUAUACAUUGGAUAAUUGGAAUGAUCGUUUCGUUUGUAAUUUCAUCUAUAUUCAUCUAUUUUCGAUAGAACAGAGGAUAAAGAAGGAGUUUGAUCGCGAGUGUGACCAACUGUGAAUACUGUCGCACGUAUCAAUCCAACCUGUGUGUGGACGACUAAAUACGCGAUGUGUCGCGUGUCACAUAUAGAUAAUAUUAUUAUAUACCAGUUAUAAAAGCGAAUCGAUAGUGCAACCUUAACUCUUACGAUCGACACGAUUCUCCUACCUUCUAAUUUUUCUCUUUUUUUUUUUAUUCAAUCGCGAUCGAGUACCACCCUCGUCUACCUACCUACCUACCUACCUACCUAUCCACCUUCCUUCUUCUUCUUCAAAAAUAUUCUGUGUAAAUAUAAUCGUGUUUUUUUCACACAAUCGGAUAUAAUGAUACGAUAUUUUUAACUCGUUUACAUUGAAUAGGAUAAUUAUAAUUUCUUGAUUCUUCGUUCGACGAGGAAAGAUUGGCCGACGAAUGAUAAAAUAAUAAUAAUAAUAAUAAUAACAAUUAUUAUUUCGUACGAAACGAAGAAGAUGAAUUGAGAUCGAACGAAGAAUCAAGCGAUAUAUAUAUAUAUAUAUAUACAUAGAUAUAAGAAAAUUUCAGAAUCACCGAAUUCUAUAUGAUAUAACGAACGAAGAUUUAUAUAUGUGUAUAUAUAUAUAUAUAUAUAUAUAUAUUUAUCUCUGUAUAUAUAUAUACAUAUAUGUAUGUACUUACUUAGGUUAGAAUUCUGAUCAUGUUGAUCUAAAGCGGAUCAGUGCUAUAUUGAACGAUCAUUUGAUCGACUUGAAGCUUUGACGCAACUUUCCUAUUUAUUGUUAUUGCAAAUUGAUAUGGGAAAUGAGUGAGAAUGAAAAUAAUUGUAUAAAAA
Molecule: unclassified non-coding RNA, 4582 nt
Filed under: Apis florea (little honeybee)
Lineage: Eukaryota; Metazoa; Arthropoda; Insecta; Hymenoptera; Apidae
Description: uncharacterized LOC100869536, transcript variant X3
Source: RNAcentral